AUGCAGGUCGAGCGGGUCCGGCGUAAGCCGGAUCAGCGGCGGACGGGUGCGUAACACGUAGGAAUCUGCCUCUUAAUGGGGAAUAGCCCCGCGAAAGCGGGGGUAAUACCGCAUAAGUACUGAGAGUAAUCGAAGUAGAAAGCGCUUAACCGCGCGUUGAGAGAAAAGCCUGCGGCCUAUCAGCUUGUUGGUGAGGUAACGGCUUACCAAGGCUAUGACGGGUAGGGGGUGUGAGAGCACGACCCCCCACAAGGUCACUGAGACACGGGGCCUACAUCUACGGAUGGCAGCAACUGGGAAUCUUGCGCAAUGGACGAAAGUCUGACGCAGCGACACCGCGUGUGGGAUGAAGUAUUUCGGUAUGUAAACCACUGUGAUAGGGGAUGAACUCUUGACAGUACCCUAUUAGAAAGCACCUGCUAACUACGUGCCAGAAGCCUCGGCAAUACGUGGGGUGCAAGCGUUAUCCGGAUUUACUGGGCGUAAAGGGUUUCGCAGGCGGAUAGCUAAGUCCGGUUUCAAAGACCAUGGCUCAACUGUGGGAAGGGGUCGGAUACUGGCUGUCUAGAGGACAUCAGGGGAGACUGGAAUUCUCGGUGGAGGGGUGAAAUCCGUUGAUAUCGAGAAGAACGCCAAUGGUGAAGACAAGUCUCUGGGGUGUUUCUGACGCUCAGGUACGAAGGCUAGGGGAGCGAACGGGAUUAGAGACCCCGGUAGUCCUAGCCGUAAACUAUGAAUACUAGAUGCUCCUUUCGGGGGGUGUCGUAAGCUAACGCGUUAAGUAUUCCGCCUGGGUAGUACGGCCGCAAGGUUAAAACUCAAAGGAAUUGACGGGGAUCUGCACAACCAGUGGAGCAUGUGGUUCAAUUCGAUACAAAGCGAAGGACCUUACCUGGGUUUGACAUGCUAUUGCACGCCUCGCGAAAGCGAGGAAGCCUUCGAGGGUAUAGCACAGCUGCUGCAUGGCUGUCGUCAGCUCGUGUCGUGAGACGUCCGCUUAAGUGCGGUAACGAGCGCAACCCCUAUUCCGUGUUAUAUAUUCACGGGAGACUGCCUUACAGCAAGUAGGGAGGAAGGAGGGGACGACGUCAAGUCCGCAUGGCGCUUACGCCCAGGGCCACACACAUCCUACAAUGGGAAGGACAACGGGUCGCGAAACUGUAAAGUCGAGCUAAUCCUUUAAACCUUUCCUCAGUUCAGAUUGAGGGCUGCAACUCGCCCUCAUGAAGUCGGAAUUGUAGUAAUCGCGGGUCAGAAGACCGCGGUGAAUACGUUCUCAGAUCUUGUACACACUGCCCGUCAAGCCAGCAAAGUCGACAGAUCCCGAAGCGUCCCCUUUAGUGGGGGCUCUAAGGAUAGGCCGGCGAUGAGGACUAAGUCGUAACAAGGUA
This 1391-nucleotide ribosomal RNA is filed under the name metagenome. RNAcentral's name for it is "bacterial SSU rRNA". It matches the Rfam family "Bacterial small subunit ribosomal RNA". The record is from RNAcentral.